GUUGAUCCUGCCAGUAGUCAUAUGCUUGUCUCAAAGAUUAAGCCAUGCAUGUCUCAGUACAAGCCGAAUUAAGGUGAAACCGCGAAAGGCUCAUUAAAUCAGUUAUGGUUCCUUAGAUCGUACCCACAUUUACUUGGAUAACUGUGGUAAUUCUAGAGCUAAUACAUGCAAACAGAGCUCCGACCGGAGACGGAAGGAGCGCUUUUAUUAGAUCAAAACCAAUCGGCGGCGGGUUCGCUCGCUCGUCGUACACCUUGGUGAAUCUGAAUAACUUUCUGCUGAUCGCAUGGUCUCGCACCGGCGACGCAUCUUUCAAAUGUCUGCCUUAUCAACUGUCGAUGGUAGGUUCUGCGCCUACCAUGGUUGUAACGGGUAACGGGGAAUCAGGGUUCGAUUCCGGAGAGGGAGCCUGAGAAACGGCUACCACAUCCAAGGAAGGCAGCAGGCGCGCAAAUUACCCACUCCCGGCACGGGGAGGUAGUGACGAAAAAUAACGAUACGGGACUCAUCCGAGGCCCCGUAAUCGGAAUGAGUACACUCUAAAUCCUUUAACGAGGAUCAAUUGGAGGGCAAGUCUGGUGCCAGCAGCCGCGGUAAUUCCAGCUCCAAUAGCGUAUAUUAAAGUUG
RNAcentral lists this ribosomal RNA (627 nucleotides) under Graphelmis picea. RNAcentral describes it as "SSU rRNA". It matches the Rfam family "Eukaryotic small subunit ribosomal RNA", at positions 7 to 612 of the family's 1831-position model. RNAcentral also lists the same sequence under 1 other name. Lineage: Eukaryota; Metazoa; Arthropoda; Insecta; Coleoptera; Elmidae. The record is from RNAcentral.